UGGGGAAUAUUGCACAAUGGAGGGAACUCUGAUGCAGUGACGCCGCGUGAACGAAGAAGGCUUUCGAGUCGUAAAGUUCUUUUAUAUGGGAAGAUAAUGACGGUACCAUAAGAAGAAGCCCCGGCUAACUACGUGCCAGCAGCCGCGGUAAUACGUAGGGGGCUAGCGUUGUCCGGAAUCACUGGGCGUAAAGGGUUCGCAGGCGGAAAUGCAAGUCAGGUGUAAAAGGCAGUAGCUUAACUACUGUAAGCAUUUGAAACUGCAUAUCUUGAGAAGAGUAGAGGUAAGUGGAAUUUUUAGUGUAGCGGUGAAAUGCGUAGAUAUUAAAAAGAAUACCGGUGGCGAAGGCGACUUACUGGGCUCAUUCUGACGCUGAGGAACGAAAGCGUGGGUAGCAAACAGG
Molecule: ribosomal RNA, 403 nt
Filed under: bacterium
Lineage: Bacteria
Description: partial 16S ribosomal RNA
Rfam family: Bacterial small subunit ribosomal RNA
Source: RNAcentral